AUUGAACGCUGGCGGCAGGCCUAACACAUGCAAGUCGAACGGUAACAGGAAGCAGCUUGCUGCUUUGCUGACGAGUGGCGGACGGGUGAGUAAUGUCUGGGAAACUGCCCGAUGGAGGGGGAUAACUACUGGAAACGGUAGCUAAUACCGCAUAACGUCGCAAGACCAAAGAGGGGGACCUUAGGGCCUCUUGCCAUCGGAUGUGCCCAGAUGGGAUUAGCUAGUAGGUGGGGUAACGGCUCACCUAGGCGACGAUCCCUAGCUGGUCUGAGAGGAUGACCAGCCACACUGGAACUGAGACACGGUCCAGACUACUACGGGAGGCAGCAGUGGGGAAUAUUGCACAAUGGGCGCAAGCCUGAUGCAGCCAUGCCGCGUGUAUGAAGAAGGCCUUCGGGUUGUAAAGUACUUUCAGCGGGGAGGAAGGGAGUAAAGUUAAUACCUUUGCUCAUUGACGUUACCCGCAGAAGAAGCACCGGCUAACUCCGUG
This 490-nucleotide ribosomal RNA is filed under the name uncultured bacterium. Its description in RNAcentral is "partial 16S ribosomal RNA". It matches the Rfam family "Bacterial small subunit ribosomal RNA", at positions 30 to 507 of the family's 1533-position model. The record is from RNAcentral.